This 74-nucleotide transfer RNA is filed under the name Candidatus Nomurabacteria bacterium RIFCSPHIGHO2_01_FULL_42_16. RNAcentral's name for it is "tRNA-Asp". It matches the Rfam family "tRNA". From Rfam's summary of the family: Transfer RNA (tRNA) molecules are approximately 80 nucleotides in length. Their secondary structure includes four short double-helical elements and three loops (D, anti-codon, and T loops). The record is from RNAcentral. Lineage: Bacteria; Candidatus Nomuraibacteriota.
GCGGGCGUAGCUCAACUGGUUAGAGCGCUGCCCUGUCACGGCAGAGGUUGUGGGUUCAAGUCCCAUCGCUCGCG